This 319-nucleotide unclassified non-coding RNA is filed under the name uncultured fungus. RNAcentral describes it as "sequence contains ITS2". The stretch from base 1 to 52 matches the Rfam family "5.8S ribosomal RNA", at positions 103 to 154 of the family's 154-position model. The record is from RNAcentral. Lineage: Eukaryota; Fungi.
AACGCAUCUUGCGCUUGCUGGUAUUCCGGCAAGCAUGCCUGUUUGAGUGUCAUGAAAAUUAUCAACCAUGACUUGGGUUUAGGCCCUCGUUCUUGGCUUGGAUUUGGGUGCUUGCGGUCUUGCGCUGCUCACCUUAAAAGGAUUAGCUGGACAUGUCGUGAGACUUGGUUCUACUUGGCGUAAUAAGUAUUUCGCUGAGGACAUCCCUUCUGGGGUGGCCAGGACUCUGACAAACGUCUGCUUUCUAACUCGACUGUCCUCGGACAUCACUUUUUUAUGAUCUGGCCUCAAAUCAGGUAGGACUACCCGCUGAACUUAA